Molecule: long non-coding RNA, 240 nt
Filed under: Mytilus galloprovincialis (Mediterranean mussel)
Lineage: Eukaryota; Metazoa; Mollusca; Bivalvia; Mytilida; Mytilidae
Source: RNAcentral
AAGAAUAUACGACAUUGUUUGAAGCAUGCAUUAGGAUAUGGAUGAUGAAUAUAUGAUAAAAUAUAUGAUUCAGGAUGUCUACAUAUAUGAAGAGGCAGUAAGAGCUGUAAAGUGAUCGAACCGUGGUAUGAGAACAUUUUGAACUAUGAAACAAUUUAAAAUUUAAACAAUCAGUUUGACAGCAGUGCGAUACGUGUAGGAUUUUUUUUUAAGCCACCCGGAUAUCAUAAAGUUUUUUUU